GUGAUACGUCAGACAGGUGUUGUCAGUAGAGUGUGAUACACAAUCUACAGUGUGAUACAUCAGACAGGUGUUGUCCAGUAAAGUGUGAUACACAAUCUACAAAAGGUGAUACAUC
Molecule: long non-coding RNA, 115 nt
Organism: Haliotis rubra (blacklip abalone)
Lineage: Eukaryota; Metazoa; Mollusca; Gastropoda; Lepetellida; Haliotidae
Exons: 3
Source: RefSeq, a predicted model, not a curated record